This is a non-coding RNA of Amphimedon queenslandica, 72 nucleotides long. The record is from Rfam. Lineage: Eukaryota; Metazoa; Porifera; Demospongiae; Haplosclerida; Niphatidae.
CGAUCAUUAAGCCAAUGGUUAAGCUAUCUUUUUGUCGCAAAGAAUAUCCGGGUUCAAUUCCUGGGUGAUCAC